RNAcentral lists this ribosomal RNA (395 nucleotides) under uncultured eukaryote. RNAcentral describes it as "SSU rRNA". It matches the Rfam family "Eukaryotic small subunit ribosomal RNA", at positions 587 to 998 of the family's 1831-position model. The record is from RNAcentral.
AGCUCCAAUAGCGUAUAUUAAAGUUGUUGCAGUUAAAAAGCUCGUAGUUGAAUUUCUGGUCAUUUUUAGUUUGGCCUUGGUCAAGCUAGAGGUGGCCAUCCGUCUGCAAGCCUCUCUCGGCCUUCAUUGGUUUGGUUUGGCGAGCUGACAUUUUACUUUGAAAAAAUUAGAGUGUUUCAGGCAGGCUUUCGCCCGAAUACAUUAGCAUGGAAUAAUGGAAUUGGACUCUGGUCCAUUUGGUUGGUUAUUGGAUCUGAGUAAUGGUUAAUAGGGACAGUUGGGGGGCAUUAGUAUUUAAUUGUCAGAGGUGAAAUUCUUGGAUUUAUUAAAGACUAACUUAUGCGAAAGCAUUUGCCAAGGAUGUUUUCAUUAAUCAAGAACGAAAGUUAAGCACG